This 225-nucleotide ribosomal RNA is filed under the name uncultured bacterium. RNAcentral describes it as "partial 16S ribosomal RNA". It matches the Rfam family "Bacterial small subunit ribosomal RNA", at positions 524 to 743 of the family's 1533-position model. The record is from RNAcentral.
UACGUAGGGUGCGAGCGUUAAUCGGAAUUACUGGGCGUAAAGCGUGCGCAGGCGGUUUUGUAAGUCUGACGUGAAAUCCCCGGGCUCAACCUGGGAAUUGCGUUGGAGACUGCAAGGCUGGAGUCUGGCAGAGGGGGGUAGAAUUCCACGUGUAGCAGUGAAAUGCGUAGAGAGUGUGGAGGAACACCCGAUGGCGAAGGCAGCCCCCUGGGAUCAAGGACCUGG